RNAcentral lists this ribosomal RNA (397 nucleotides) under uncultured bacterium. Its description in RNAcentral is "partial 16S ribosomal RNA". It matches the Rfam family "Bacterial small subunit ribosomal RNA", at positions 523 to 918 of the family's 1533-position model. The record is from RNAcentral.
AUACGUAGGGGGCGAGCGUUGUCCGGAAUGAUUGGGCGUAAAGGGCGCGUAGGCGGCCCGGUAAGUCUGGAGUGAAAGUCCUGCUUUUAAGGUGGGAAUUGCUUUGGAUACUGUCGGGCUUGAGUGCAGGAGAGGUAAGUGGAAUUCCCAGUGGAGCGGUGAAAUGCGUAGAGAUUGGGAGGAACACCAGUGGCGAAGGCGACUUACUGGACUGUAACUGACGCUGAGGCGCGAAAGUGUGGGGAGCAAACAGGAUUAGAUACCCUGGUAGUCCACACUGUAAACGAUGAAUGCUAGGUGUAGGGGGUAUCGACCCCUUCUGUGCCGCAGUUAACACAAUAAGCAUUCCGCCUGGGGAGUACGGCCGCAAGGUUGAAACUCAAAGGAAUUGACGGGG